Molecule: transfer RNA, 94 nt
Filed under: Candidatus Onthousia faecigallinarum
Lineage: Bacteria; Bacillati; Bacillota; Bacilli
Description: tRNA-Ser
Rfam family: tRNA
About the family: Transfer RNA (tRNA) molecules are approximately 80 nucleotides in length. Their secondary structure includes four short double-helical elements and three loops (D, anti-codon, and T loops).
Source: RNAcentral
GGAGUGAUAUCGAAGUGGUUAUAACGAGACUGACUCGAAAUCAGUUAUACCUCAAAAAUGGGUAUCGUGGGUUCGAAUCCCACUCACUCCGCCA